UGGGGGCGCUGCAUGCUCGAAGUGGACACUAUCGGACAAUAAGUGGCACUAUUCAUGGCGGUACAACAUCACAAUGAGCACAUUCGCGCGACGUUAGAAAAGGUUGUCACCUACGCAAUUUCUCGUCGCAGAAAUGAACGAAGAUAAUCCUGUCAUUUCAACAGCUUUUCGUGGAUCACCAGCAGUUGCCAAAGAACCUCACAGGGGAUGGAGCGACGAAUCAGCGAACAGCAGCACUCAGAUUUAUUUGCCGGUGGUUUGACAUGAAUUGAAGCUGCCGUCAUGGAUAUGUGGUGCAUCACUCAACACAGAUAACCUUGUCAUUUCAACUACUUCUCGUGGAAUACUGCAGUUGAGCUGGUAAGCAGAGUGCCACGGGGAACGACCCACCGAACUAUAAGCGAACACCGGACACUAUUUAUUUGCCAGUGGGCUAACAUUGAGGGGCAGAGUGGUGUCGUUAGGAUUCAUGUAGGGCCUUUCACAAGAUUAAGAACUAGUAAAUGCAGUAGAUUAAAAAGCACAAUUACAUUGAAGUGAUAAAAGGAAACUCGUCAAUUCAGAGAUGAAAGGUCACAAUCUUGACAAUUGAGCAUUCAGAUUCAUUUUGCAAAUAGGGGCAAAACGUUAAAACAAAAAGUACCAAUACAUUAUAACUAGAGUGAGAAGUGCUAAAGUGUCACAAUUGCAACAAAUCCAUUCUUGCCAAACCUUCUUGGGUCUUAUUCUGUUGCCUAGUGCUUCAGUGAGACAAGAAGAGGGCAGAGAGCGGACUUAGCCUCUUGCUAAAAAUAAACUUUCCGGACAUGUAUGCGUUUUUGAUUGUGGUGCUUUGUAUAUAUUUGUAUAUAAUGUGUAUAUCCAUAUAUUUGUAUAUGAUGUGUCUAUCCAUUGGACAAAAUAUAUCGUCAAAGUUAAACUUUUUAAAAUUUAAAGUGAUUUUUUUUAAUACUAACAUUGUAUAUUUGUUUUCUUUACAACAGAAGGUCACGUUAAUCUGAGAUGUUAAUUUAGGCACACAGUUUUCAAUUUAGGGUUUUUCAGUUCAAAAAUACUUAUUGAGAACAUUAUUUUGUGUAUAGAAAUUGCUCGAUGAAUUGCUGUCACUGAAGCUACAGUAAACCAUUUAAAACAAUAACCAAUUACCAAUAAAAGAAUCGGAAAUUCCGGCAUCAUAUGAAGUUCAGCCUGGAAUGACGUCACAGUUGUGGAACAUGAAUAUUCAUGUCGAUUAGUGUUAAAACUAUCUAGACAUGCAAACACCCUUUUCUUUGGCAAUAUGAAUAUUCAAAAAAACGUUUAAUGACAUGCAGAGUCAAAAUGUAAAUACAACAUUACCUUUUUAAUUUAUUUUAUCUGUUUAUAACAAGUAAACAAAAUUACACUGGGAAAAUGCGAUGUGGCGAAAAGUUAUGUUGCUGGCUAAUAUCAAUUGUAUCUAGCUCAAGAAUUGUGUGUAAAUAUUGGCUUUAUUGUACAAAAUAUUUGUGCAAGAUAUUUUCUGUGAAAGUUGUAACUUUAAGUGUGGUUUAUAGUUUUGUUUGCAGUUUAACAAAGAGCAUGUUUAAAAUCAGAAUAAUUGUGUUUUCUUCAGAAAGAACUUGAGUUUUUGAAGAUUUUUUCUGAUUUUUUUUAAAAAUAAACCACUGUGUUCUUUUUACCUUUAUACAUGUAAUUCAAUACACACAAUUUUGUAAUUCACAUGUAAUUCAAAACACACAAGUGUCAUGUUUUUGGUGGUUUUACAAAUCCAGAAUGUGGAUUGUUCUGGCUGAAAUAAGUUGUUUGUUUAUUUUAUGUUUAUUUAUUUAUUAUUGAUUUAUUAUAUUUUGUAUUGAUUUAUUCUAUUUUAUUGUUAGUACAUUGCAGCCACCAAUGACCAAAUGCUUACGAUGAGCUAACUAAUGACUCCAGACCCAUAUUACACUUGUGCAAAAAAACCCUGAUCUUUGCAUAUUAUGAUUGCCUGAGUUCAAACAAGUUGCAGAAAUGCACUAAACAGGUAACGACGAAUAUGCGCGUCUAAUUGUUUUCAAAGUUCAUGAUUCAUACUGGAUACUGGAUUAUUCCUCUUCGCAGACUUAAAAUUAAAACUCAUUUAAGUAAUUGAAUUUAUUCUUCAAAAAAGGAUCUGUAAUCUACUGUCUUUCCUUUUUAAAGAACCAUAACCGUCUGUCACGUGAUGAGUGUAAACACGGAGACUGCAGUAAACAAGUCAUACUCCUACAAAGCAAACAUGAUGAAUCAGGAACUCGAUGCUCUUUAGCGACCCUUGUACUGCGGCUUUCUGCAACUCUGAUUAAAAAAAACCUGCAUUGUAAAAGAAACUUCAUUGCCGUAUGAAUGGCGUAAGUGAACUUGAGGUCAAGAGGCAGAGUGGUGUCGUUAGGAUUCAUUUAGGGCCUUUCACAAGAUUAAGAACUAGUAAAUGCAGUACAUUAAAACGCACAAUAACAUUGAAGUGAUAAAAAGGCAACUCGUCAAUUCAGAGAUGAAAGGUCACAGUCUUGACAAUUGAGCAUUCAGAUUCAUUUUGCAAAUAAGGGCAAAUCGUUAAAAAAAAAAGUACCAAUACAUUAUAACAAGAGUGAGAAGUGCUAAAGUGUCACAAAUGCAACAAAUCCAUUCUUGCCAAACCUUCUUGGGUCUUAUUCUGUUGCCUAGUGCUUCAGUGUGACAAGAAGAGGGCGGAGUUCGGACUUAGCCUCUUGCUAAAAAUAAACUUUCCGGACAUGCAUCCAUUUUUGAUUGCGGUGCUGUGUAUAUAUUUGUACAUAAUGUGUAUAUCCAUAUAUUUGUAUAUGAUGUGUCUAUCCAUUGGAUAAAAUAUAUCGCCAAAGUUGAACUUUUUAAAAUUUAAAGUGAUUUUUUUAAUACUAAAAUUGUAUCAUUUGUUUUCUUUACAGCAGAAGGCCAAGUUAAUCUGAGAUGUCAAUUUAGGCACACAGUUUUCAAUUUAGGGUUUUUCAGCUCAGAAAUACUUAUUGAGAACAUAAUUUUGUGUAUAGAAAUUGCUCAAAGAAUUGCUGUCACUGAAGCUACAGUAAAUCAUUUAAAACAAUACCAAUUACCAGUAAAAGAAUCGGAAAUUCCGACAUCAUGUGAAGUUCAGCCUGGAAUGACACCACAGUUUUGGAACAUGAAUAUUCAUG
This 3152-nucleotide long non-coding RNA is filed under the name Patiria miniata (bat star). RNAcentral describes it as "uncharacterized LOC119721492". The record is from RNAcentral. Lineage: Eukaryota; Metazoa; Echinodermata; Asteroidea; Valvatida; Asterinidae.